Meriones unguiculatus (Mongolian gerbil) is the source of this 130-nucleotide small nucleolar RNA. The record is from Ensembl. Lineage: Eukaryota; Metazoa; Chordata; Mammalia; Rodentia; Muridae.
GCUUCCCCUAGAGGCUUUGCAGGGGUGGCUACUGCGAUAAACGUGUCCGUGGGUGGCAGAGAGGAGAGAGGCUACGUCUGUGCUCAGUGCUCUGACCUGUGAACAUCGGGAUGAUCAGUAGCCUAAUGCU